GUAGGUGAACCUGCGGAAGGAUCAUUAACACGUGAUACACGUCCUCCAAUAUCAACCAACCUCGACGAACCUGUGUCUCAAAUCUUUUGGGUUACUUCUGUCUUCUUCGGAAGGUCAGACUUAUCCUUUGCUGUCAGCCCUCUCAUGGAACUUCGUGUGUCUGUAAUGGUUGAUGGACAAGGGACCUUGAGUGUCCCCUCGGGGAAGCCAUCUUUAGUAGGGUGUCUAUUCAGCACGCAUACGAUCCCGG
RNAcentral lists this unclassified non-coding RNA (250 nucleotides) under plant metagenome. RNAcentral's name for it is "partial contains small subunit ribosomal RNA, internal transcribed spacer 1, and 5.8S ribosomal RNA". The record is from RNAcentral.